This 429-nucleotide ribosomal RNA is filed under the name uncultured Sinobacteraceae bacterium. RNAcentral describes it as "bacterial SSU rRNA". It matches the Rfam family "Bacterial small subunit ribosomal RNA", at positions 355 to 776 of the family's 1533-position model. Lineage: Bacteria; Pseudomonadati; Pseudomonadota; Gammaproteobacteria; Nevskiales; Nevskiaceae. The record is from RNAcentral.
UGGGGAAUAUUGGACAAUGGGGGAAACCCUGAUCCAGCGACGCCGCGUGGGUGAAGAAGGCCUGCGGGUUGUAAAGCCCUUUCGAUGGGGACGAAAGCUUCUGACCUAACACGUCGGGAGUCUGACUUAACCCAUAUAAGAAGCACCGGCUAACUCUGUGCCAGCAGCCGCGGUAAUACAGAGGGUGCGAGCGUUAAUCGGAAUUACUGGGCGUAAAGCGCACGUAGGCGGCUUGGUAUGUCGGGUGUGAAAUCCCCGGGCUCAACCUGGGAACUGCAUCCGAAACUGCCUUGCUAGAGUAUGGGAGAGGGAAGUGGAAUUUCCGGUGUAGCAGUGAAAUGCGUAGAUAUCGGAAGGAACACCAGUGGCGAAGGCGACUUCCUGGACCAAUACUGACGCUCAGGUGCGAAAGCGUGGGGAGCAAACAGG